Molecule: long non-coding RNA, 2237 nt
Filed under: Cicer arietinum (chickpea)
Lineage: Eukaryota; Viridiplantae; Streptophyta; Magnoliopsida; Fabales; Fabaceae
Description: long non-coding RNA (CARI_LNC001495)
Source: RNAcentral
AAUCAACUUGGUUCCAACAUUAUGCUUAAUAGGUUAUGCAUUAGUCCUUUUACAAGUAGAAUAUUUUUAAUAGAGGGAAUAUAACUAUUAUGCUUAAUGUGUCGUGCCCAACGAUCUUACCCUUAUGAUUACCUUCAAAACCUACAAAGUAUUCACUCUUGAGGGUUAUGUCUUGGAACAUAGAGUUCAUACAUCGCUCUACAAUAAAAAUUGUGUUUUUAGAACUAAGGAUCAUCUCCAUCUGCUUAGUGAGCUUGUCUAUUUGAGAAGACAUUGUUCGUUGUAUAACCAACAUAGCAGUGUAUCCAAUUCAAGCAAACCCUUUCUGGAUGAUCCUCUAUCAUGUUGUUUAAGGUCUCAACCCACGAUAAAAUAUAUGCAUUUGUGUGAACACAUAAAACCCAUUCCCUAGACACCUCUUCACAAACAAUUUAUACAUUUACCAAGCAUCAUAUAAUUUAUUAGGAUUUGGGAGGGCUGGUUGUACCACUGAUCCCAAAUAAAUUUGUCAAAUGUUGAUUUGGGUCUUCCACCUCAACACCCGAAAGUUUCUCAUUCUUCAAGGCACUUAAUACUGAUGACUUAUCUUCAAAAGAUAUUGCGUCCACAACUUGAAAUUCACGAGUCAUCUGCCCAUGACUAUGCCUUCGACUGAAAUCUCCAAGAACACAUCGAGGUGGUCGUGGUAGUGGUAGAUCCAUAUCUUCCAACUUAGUAUCAGAAUCACUGAGUGAAGUUUCGGUAGCAAGUGUUUCUUUUAAUGCCUUAAUUUAUGCUUGUUAUGCUUCCCCAACUCUCCUUCUGUUUAGCUUUUCAGUCUUAUCAACCUAUGGAUCGAAUAGUAAUCUUAAACUUUCACCCGGCAUACACAACUCACAAUACCUUAAACACCUUAAGCAACAGAGAAAUAGCCAAGAGAAAAUAAUGGCAAUUUAUAUCACUCCAAAGAGAAAAAGAAAAUAAUAAAACUAAGUACGACAACUUUGCCUUGUCGAUAAAUUAAUCAACAAUCUCCGACAACGGCGCCAAAAACUUGACAACUCUUUGACAAGUGUAUCAAAUCUCUCAAGUAAUAAAGUGAUAAGUAAAAUUGUCUCCACAUGAAUGUUUAUUAAUUUAAUUAUGCAACAAAGUAAAUAACACUUAGGUAAGUAGAAUAUUUACGAUUGGUUUAUAAAAUCGAACAAACGUAAAAUUAAAUAGAGAAAGACGAUUAGGGACUCGAAUCACCUUAUUUUUACCAUGUAAUAAUUGAAUUGCUAUUUUAACAAUCUAACUUAUUUAAUUACGUCAAAUUAACCAAUUAAACUAAGACUAAUUCUUUGACUCAAAAUCUCUUUUAUGACAAAGAACCAUAAUACUUAGGGGAUCAGACUUGUUGCUCAAAGUAUAUAUAGAUGUUAAUUUAUUAGACACAUCUUAAUACUUUAUAUUCCUAUAAUAGUAUUGAAACAUUGACAUAUAUUUUGGUUCCGAUAAUUAUAGCAUAUUUCCAAUAACAAAAUAAUUCACAUGUUUAAUUAUAUGGUGAUCAAGCAUAGAAAAGCACUAAGAGCAAAAAUAUAUGAAAAAUCAAAUACAUUGUAAUUGCAUAAAUAACAUAUGAAAACUAGAACUACAUGAAUUCAAGAAGGUUUAUCUAAUCCCUAAUCAAUGAGUAAAUUAGCUACUCAUAUAGUUUGAUAAAAGAUACAUAAAGAAAAGUAAAUUACACAUAAAGAUUGCACUAGGCGUCAUCUCGAGUGUAGCUGCCUCAUACUUUGAAACAAAAAAUUUGAACCCUAACAAAAUUUUAAUUUUUAACUUAAAUAAUGUUUAGAAAAAAUGCGUUGCGACGCUCUCCUGCUGCACUUAGAGACAAUAAGAUGUGUCAGGAUGUGCACUAAUUGGCGCAAUGCGCCCUAGUACUUCCUACUACGCUCCAGCUUCAAUCAAAAGAAAAUUAUGCACAUCUAAAAUCACCUUGUAUCAACACUGGCCCUUUGUAACUUUUCGAGUGUCUGUUUCUUAAUGUAAUUAACCCGUAACAUCAAAACAACUAGAGAAACUCCAAAAAUUUGUCUGGAUAGAAAUGAUUAAUACAAAAACAUUUAAAGAUAAUCCAAAACAAUUUAAAUUUUUUUGUCUUCAAAUAACUAUAAAACUAACAUAGAUGAAAUUGAAAACAAAAAUUAUUAACAAGGUGUUAAAAAAUAAGAGUAGAUGAAUAUUCAUCGAAGUACAUCGAUGGAUAAUCC